CCUUCACUGAUGAAUAACCCUUUGACUUUCGUUCUACUGAGUUUGCUGAAGCAACGUUUGUUGUCUGAGGAGG
Coturnix japonica (Japanese quail) is the source of this 73-nucleotide small nucleolar RNA. The record is from Ensembl. Lineage: Eukaryota; Metazoa; Chordata; Aves; Galliformes; Phasianidae.